AGGGAAUCUUCGGCAAUGGACGGAAGUCUGACCGAGCAACGCCGCGUGAGUGAAGAAGGUUUUCGGAUCGUAAAGCUCUGUUGUAAGAGAAGAACGAGUGUGAGAGUGGAAAGUUCACACUGUGACGGUAUCUUACCAGAAAGGGACGGCUAACUACGUGCCAGCAGCCGCGGUAAUACGUAGGUCCCGAGCGUUGUCCGGAUUUAUUGGGCGUAAAGCGAGCGCAGGCGGUUAGAUAAGUCUGAAGUUAAAGGCUGUGGCUUAACCAUAGUACGCUUUGGAAACUGUUUAACUUGAGUGCAAGAGGGGAGAGUGGAAUUCCAUGUGUAGCGGUGAAAUGUGUAGAUAUAUGGAGGAACACCGGUGGCGAAAGCGGCUCUCUGGCUUGUAACUGACGCUGAGGCUCGAAAGCGUGGGGAGCAAACAGGAUUAGAUACCCUGGUAGUCCACGCCGUAAACGAUGAGUGCUAGGUGUUAGACCCUUUCCGGGGUUUAGUGCCGCAGCUAACGCAUUAAGCACUCCGCCUGGGGAGUACGACCGCAAGGUUG
RNAcentral lists this ribosomal RNA (549 nucleotides) under uncultured bacterium. Its description in RNAcentral is "bacterial SSU rRNA". It matches the Rfam family "Bacterial small subunit ribosomal RNA", at positions 356 to 896 of the family's 1533-position model. The record is from RNAcentral.